This 246-nucleotide ribosomal RNA is filed under the name Triticum aestivum (bread wheat). Its description in RNAcentral is "partial small subunit ribosomal RNA". The record is from RNAcentral. Lineage: Eukaryota; Viridiplantae; Streptophyta; Magnoliopsida; Poales; Poaceae.
AUGGAAUCGAAUAGAAGAGUUGGCGUCCAAAGAAAAAGCGACUACAUCUUAGGGGCCGUAGAUGGCAGGGAUGACCCUGGUGUUGCCCAUCUCGAACAGCGCCAACCCGUCGGCCCUGGAGAAGAUGUCGACCUCGCCCUUGAGCUGCCGCAUCUCCAAGGCAAGGCAGCAAACAUGAAGAAUCAGAGGCAGUCGAGCCAGCAUGAAGAGGAUGAGGCUACUCUGCCGUGGACAAGAAGAUUUUAG